AAUCCAUGCUGUGGGCACUGACAAAGUAAACCCUUGUAUCGUUCUCAAGCCUUUGAAUAGCAUUUUGAGUCCAUUUGCUGAAAAACAAUGAUCUCGUCCUUUAGCUU
RNAcentral lists this small nucleolar RNA (107 nucleotides) under Olea europaea subsp. europaea. RNAcentral's name for it is "Plant small nucleolar RNA R71". It matches the Rfam family "Plant small nucleolar RNA R71". Rfam says of the family: R71 is a member of the C/D box family of snoRNAs containing the C (UGAUGA) and D (CUGA) box motifs. Multiple nearly identical copies of this snoRNA have been identified in Arabidopsis, and it is thought to function as a 2'-O-ribose methylation guide for 18S ribosomal RNA. Lineage: Eukaryota; Viridiplantae; Streptophyta; Magnoliopsida; Lamiales; Oleaceae. The record is from Rfam by way of RNAcentral.